Molecule: long non-coding RNA, 727 nt
Filed under: Musa acuminata (dwarf banana)
Lineage: Eukaryota; Viridiplantae; Streptophyta; Magnoliopsida; Zingiberales; Musaceae
Description: long non-coding RNA (MACU_LNC006344)
Source: RNAcentral
GAUACUCUUCGAUGUAAUCUUUUAAGGUUAGAUCUUAAGGGGCUAGUAGUUUUUUAUGGUUUUCAAAAAUGAGAUCAUGGUUCUUGUUUUGGGUUUUUAUUAUGCGUCGUAGAACUGAUUACCGGUGGAUUUAUUCAAUGACUACUGUGUAUGAGUCGACGCUAUAUAUAGUUUUUUCCUCCGUGGUUUGCCCCUUUAUCAUGAAUCGAUCGUCGAUGUCAUUUUGAUCGCAGAUGCGGAGACAUUUGAAUCUUGAUUUUAUUUUAUAUUUUCAUUUGAAUCAAGCGAAGACUCUCGUCUCCAUCACUCCAAAGCAAUAUACCAUCUUGAAAGUUAUAAUAAUUUUUCUGAUUGAGUUGAUUGAUCGAUGUAAUUAUUUCAAGAAUCAUACUCAUCAAUAGUUCUACAAAUCAUUGCAUUUCGUCUUUGUUUGCAACAGAAGAAGAAGUUUAUACCAACCAAAUGCUGCAUAUUUUGAUUUGGUUCAUAAGUUAUGAUGAGCUAUAAAUGCUUAGGCAGGAUUGAAGGUUUUAGAGACAUGAAUUGUUGCAUGGAUGCAGUGAUCACCGAUCCUCAGCAAUGAAUGAAGACAAUCGUUUUGGUUGCUGUAUAAUCUUAUGACAUCAUAUGAAUAGCACCUUAUUAUCUUUCGAAAGCUUGAUUUGUUGGACAUGUAAUCGAAAAAUCUUUUGCGAUAUUGCUUCGAUUACAUGACUUUCGUGAUUCU